This 2547-nucleotide ribosomal RNA is filed under the name Drosophila serrata. RNAcentral's name for it is "eukaryotic LSU rRNA". It matches the Rfam family "Eukaryotic large subunit ribosomal RNA", at positions 987 to 3211 of the family's 3401-position model. The record is from RNAcentral. Lineage: Eukaryota; Metazoa; Arthropoda; Insecta; Diptera; Drosophilidae.
AUGUUAUAUAAAUAAUCUUAUCUGGUAAAGCGAAUGAUUAGAGGCCUUAGGGUCGAAACGAUCUUAACCUAUUCUCAAACUUUAAAUGGGUAAGAACCUUAACUUUCUUGAUAUGAAGUUUAAGGUUAUGAUAUAAUGUGCCCAGUGGGCCACUUUUGGUAAGCAGAACUGGCGCUGUGGGAUGAACCAAACGUAAUGUUACGGUGCCCAAAUUAACAACUCAUGCAGAUACCAUGAAAGGCGUUGGUUGCUUAAAACAGCAGGACGGUGAUCAUGGAAGUCGAAAUCCGCUAAGGAGUGUGUAACAACUCACCUGCCGAAGCAACUAGCCCUUAAAAUGGAUGGCGCUUAAGUUGUAUACCUAUACAUUACCGCUAAAGUAGAUGAUUUAUAUUACUUGUAAUAUAAAUUUUGAAACUUUAGUGAGUAGGAAGGUACAAUGGUAUGCGUAGAAGUGUUUGGCGUAAGCCUGCAUGGAGCUGCCAUUGGUACAGAUCUUGGUGGUAGUAGCAAAUAAUCGAAUGAGACCUUGGAGGACUGAAGUGGAGAAGGGUUUCGUGUGAACAGUGGUUGAUCACGAGUUAGUCGGUCCUAAGUUCAAGGCGAAAGCCGAAAAUUUUCAAGUAAUAAAAUGACUAUAUAUUACAAAAAUGCCAAUUAAUAUACUUGAAUAAUUUUGAACGAAAGGGAAUACGGUUCCAAUUCCGUAACCUGUUGAGUAUCCGUUUGUUAUUAAAUAUGGGCCUCGUGCUCAUCCUGGCAACAGGAACGACCAUAAAGAAGCCGUCGAGAGAUAUCGGAAGAGUUUUCUUUUCUGUUUUAUAGCCGUACUACCAUGGAAGUCUUUCGCAGAGAGAUAUGGUAGAUGGGCUAGAAGAGCAUGACAUAUACUGUUGUGUCGAUAUUUUCUCCUCGGACCUUGAAAAUUUAUGGUGGGGAUACGCAAACUUCUCAACAGGCCGUACCAAUAUCCGCAGCUGGUCUCCAAGGUGAAGAGUCUCUAGUCGAUAGAAUAAUGUAGGUAAGGGAAGUCGGCAAAUUAGAUCCGUAACUUCGGGAUAAGGAUUGGCUCUGAAGAUUGAGAUAGUCGGGCUUGAUUGGGAAACAAUAACAUGGUUUAUGUGCUCGUUCUGGGUAAAUAGAGUUUCUAUCAUUUAUGUUAGUUGCUUGUUCCCCGGAUAGUUUAGUUACGUAGCCAAUUGUGGAACUUUCUUGCUAAAAUUUUUAAGAAUACUAGUUGGGUCAAACCAAUUAGUUCUUAUUAAUUAUAACGAUUAUCAAUUAACAAUCAAUUCAGAACUGGCACGGACUUGGGGAAUCCGACUGUCUAAUUAAAACAAAGCAUUGUGAUGGCCCUAGCGGGUGUUGACACAAUGUGAUUUCUGCCCAGUGCUCUGAAUGUCAAAGUGAAGAAAUUCAAGUAAGCGCGGGUCAACGGCGGGAGUAACUAUGACUCUCUUAAGGUAGCCAAAUGCCUCGUCAUCUAAUUAGUGACGCGCAUGAAUGGAUUAACGAGAUUCCUACUGUCCCUAUCUACUAUCUAGCGAAACCACAGCCAAGGGAACGGGCUUGGAAUAAUUAGCGGGGAAAGAAGACCCUUUUGAGCUUGACUCUAAUCUGGCAGUGUAAGGAGACAUAAGAGGUGUAGAAUAAGUGGGAGAUAUUAGACUUCGGUUUGGUAUCGACAAUGAAAUACCACUACUCUUAUUGUUUCCUUACUUACUUGAUUAAAUGGAACGUGUAUCAUUUCCUAGCCAUUAUACGGAUAUAUUUAUUAUAUCUUAUGGUAUUGGGUUUUGAUGCAAGCUUCUUGAUCAAAGUAUCACGAGUUUGUUAUAUAAUCGCAAACAAAUUCUUUAAUGAGACGAUGCAUUUAUGUAUUUUUGAUUUGAAAAUUUGGUAUAACUCCAAUUACUCAGGUAUGAUCCAAUUCAAGGACAUUGCCAGGUAGGGAGUUUGACUGGGGCGGUACAUCUCUCAAAUAAUAACGGAGGUGUCCCAAGGCCAGCUCAGUGCGGACAGAAACCACACAUAGAGCAAAAGGGCAAAUGCUGACUUGAUCUCGGUGUUCAGUACACACAGGGACAGCAAAAGCUCGGCCUAUCGAUCCUUUUGGUUUAAAGAGUUUUUAACAAGAGGUGUCAGAAAAGUUACCAUAGGGAUAACUGGCUUGUGGCGGCCAAGCGUUCAUAGCGACGUCGCUUUUUGAUCCUUCGAUGUCGGCUCUUCCUAUCAUUGUGAAGCAAAAUUCACCAAGCGUUGGAUUGUUCACCCAUGCAAGGGAACGUGAGCUGGGUUUAGACCGUCGUGAGACAGGUUAGUUUUACCCUACUAAUGACAAAACGUUGUUGCGACAGCAUUCCUGCGUAGUACGAGAGGAACCGCAGGUACGGACCAAUGGCACAAUACUUGUUCGAGCGAACAGUGGUAUGACGCUACGUCCGUUGGAUUAUGCCUGAACGCCUCUAAGGUCGUAUCCGUGCUGGACUGCAAUGAUAAAUAAGGGGCAAUUUGCAUUGUAUGGCUUCUAAACCAUUUAAAGUUUGU